Molecule: ribosomal RNA, 451 nt
Filed under: Pseudomonas sp. SI-2
Lineage: Bacteria; Pseudomonadati; Pseudomonadota; Gammaproteobacteria; Pseudomonadales; Pseudomonadaceae
Description: bacterial SSU rRNA
Rfam family: Bacterial small subunit ribosomal RNA
Source: RNAcentral
UCGCGCCUACCAUGCAAGUCGAGCGGAUGAAGGGAGCUUGCUCCCUGAUUCAGCGGCGGACGGGUGAGUUAAUGCCUAGGAAUCUGCCUGGUAGUGGGGGACAACGUUUCGAAAGGAACGCUAAUACCGCAUACGUCCUACGGGAGAAAGCAGGGGACCUUCGGGCCUUGCGCUAUCAGAUGAGCCUAGGUCGGAUUAGCUAGUUGGUGAGGUAAUGGCUCACCAAGGCGACGAUCCGUAACUGGUCUGAGAGGAUGAUCAGUCACACUGGAACUGAGACACGGUCCAGACUCCUACGGGAGGCAGCAGUGGGGAAUAUUGGACAAUGGGCGAAAGCCUGAUCCAGCCAUGCCGCGUGUGUGAAGAAGGUCUUCGGAUUGUAAAGCACUUUAAGUUGGGAGGAAGGGCAGUAAGCUAAUACCUUGCUGUUUUGACGUUACCGACAGAAUAA